RNAcentral lists this long non-coding RNA (746 nucleotides) under Salmo salar (Atlantic salmon). Its description in RNAcentral is "lncRNA (ENSSSAG00000099667.1)". The record is from RNAcentral. Lineage: Eukaryota; Metazoa; Chordata; Actinopteri; Salmoniformes; Salmonidae.
GGGGGUGUUGAGCGUAAAGCUAAAGGUGUGGUCUGGUCAUGAGUUGGAGGGUUCAUCUCCUUCCAUUGGGUCUUAUAUACGUUUUCUUCUACACAGUCUGUUAUACAUCAAUGGGUUCUGAUUGGAGUGGAUGAUUAUAGACCCUGUGGGGGGGGAUUCAAAAUGUUACCCUACCAGGUCUGGACUACUGCUGUUGUUCUCCUCUACCUGGUCAUUACUGGUACCCGCCUGGUGUCCCAGGUCUAAAUCAGGCCCUGAUUAGAGGGGGAACAAUGACUGGUGUCCCAGGUCUAAAUCAGCCCCUGGUGUCCCAGGUCUAAAUCAGUCCCUGAUUAGAGGGGAACAAUGACUGGUGUCUCAGGUCUAAAUCAGCCCCUGGUGUCCCAGGUCUAAAUCAGGCCCUGAUUCGAGGGGGAACAAUGACUGGUGUCUCAGGUCUAAAUCAGCCCCUGGUGUCCCAGGUCUAAAUCAGGCCCUGAUUCGAGGGGGAACAAUGACUGGUGUCCCAGGUCUAAAUCAGCCCCUGGUGUCCCAGGUCUAAAUCAGGCCCUGAUUAGAGGGGGAACAAUGACUGGUGUCCCAGGUCUAAAUCAGCCCCUGGUGUCCCAGGUCUAAAUCAGUCCCUGAUUAGAGGGGAACAAUGACUGGUGUCCCAGGUCUAAAUCAGGCCCUGAUUCGAGGGGAACAAUGACUGGUGUCCCAGGUCUAAAUCAGCCCCUGGUGUCCCAGAUCUAAAUCAGCCCCUG